AAGGGUGUUGCCAAGAGGUUAAGGCGUAGGACUUUGACUCCUAUAUCGAAGGUUCAAAUCCUUCCAUCCUUG
Molecule: transfer RNA, 72 nt
Rfam family: tRNA
About the family: Transfer RNA (tRNA) molecules are approximately 80 nucleotides in length. Their secondary structure includes four short double-helical elements and three loops (D, anti-codon, and T loops).
Source: Rfam